This 484-nucleotide ribosomal RNA is filed under the name uncultured bacterium. RNAcentral's name for it is "bacterial SSU rRNA". It matches the Rfam family "Bacterial small subunit ribosomal RNA", at positions 28 to 524 of the family's 1533-position model. The record is from RNAcentral.
GACGAACGCUGGCGGCGUGCUUAACACAUGCAAGUCAAGGGGGCCCGCAAGGGCAACCGGCGAACGGGUGCGUAACACGUGAGCAAUCUGCCUAGAUGUGGGGGAUAGCCGGCCCAACGGCCGGGUAAUACCGCAUACGCUCUCCGGGUGGCAUCACCUGGUGAGGAAACUUUCGAGGCAUCUAGAGGAGCUCGCGGCCUAUCAGCUAGUUGGUGGGGUAAUGGCCUACCAAGGCAUUGACGGGUAGCUGGUCUGAGAGGAUGGCCAGCCACAUUGGGACUGAGAUACGGCCCAGACUCCUACGGGAGGCAGCAGUGGGGAAUAUUGCGCAAUGGCCGAAAGGCUGACGCAGCGACGCCGCGUGGGGGAUGAAGCAUUUCGGUGUGUAAACCCCUGUUGCCCGGGACGAACAACUGGAUUCUUCCAGUCUGACGGUACCGGGUGAGGAAGCACCGGCUAACUCCGUGCCAGCAGCCGCGGUAAU